AGUAGUCAUAUGCUUGUCUCAAAGAUUAAGCCAUGCAUGUGUAAGUAUGAACUAUUUCAGACUGUGAAACUGCGAAUGGCUCAUUAAAUCAGUUAUAGUUUGUUUGAUGGUACGUGCUACCGGAUAACCGUAGUAAUUCUAGAGCCAAUACGCGCAACAAACCCCCGACUUCCUGGAGGGAUGCAUUUAUUAGAUAAAAAAGGUUGACGUGGGCUUUGCCCGCCGCUCGAUGAUUCAUGAUAACUCAACGGAUCGCACGCCCCCUCGUGCCAGCGACGCAUCAUUCAAAUUUCUGCCCUAUCAACUUUCGAUGGUAGGAUAGGGGCCUACCAUGGUGGUGACGGACGGGUGACGGAGAAUUAGGGUUCGAUUCGGAGAGGGUGCCCGAAACGGCUACCACAUCCAAGGAAGGCAGCGGUAGCAAAAAUUACCCUAUCCCGACACGGGGAGGUAGUGACAAUAAAAACAAUACCGGGCUCUUCGAACCGGUAAUUGGAAUGAGUACAAUCUAAAUCCCUUUAACGAGAUCCAUUGGAGGGCAAGUCCGGUGCCGGCAGAGCCACGGUAAUUCCAGCUCCAAUAGCGUAUAUUUAAGUUGUUGCGCUUAAAAAAAGCUCGUAGUUGGACUUUGGGUCGGGUCGGUCGGUCCGCCUUCAUGGUGUGCACCGGUCGUCCCAUCCCUUCUGUCGGCGAUCGUGCCGGCCUUAACUGGUCGGUCGCCUCCCCUCGCCAUUUUUACUUUGAAGAAAUUAGAGUGCUCAAAGCAAGCCCACGCCCGGAUACAUUAGCAUGGGAUAACAUCACAGGAUUUCGUCCUAUUGUGUUGGCCUUCGGGAUCGGAGUAAUGAUUAAGUGGGACAGUCAGGGGCAUUCAGAUUUCAUAGUUAGAGGUGAAAUUCUUGGAUUUAUGAAAGACGAACCACCACCGCGAAAGCAUUUGCCAAGGAUGUUUUCAUUAAUCAAGAACGAAAGUUGGGGGCUCAAGACGAUCGAUACCGCCCUAGUCUCAACCAUAAAUGAUGCCGACCGGGGAUCGGCGGAUGUUGCUCUUAGGACUCCGCGGCACCUUAUGAGAAAUCAAAGUCUUUGGGUUCCGGGGAGUAUGGUCGCAAGGGUGAAAACUUAAAGGAAUUGACGGAAGGGCACCACCAGAGUGGAGCUUGCGGCUUAAUUUGACUCAACACGGGAAACUUACCAGUCCGCAGACAUAGCAAGGAUUGACAGACCGAGAGCUCUUUCUUGAUUCUAUGGGUGGUGGUGCAUGGCCGUUCUUAGUUGGUGGAGCGAUUUGUCCGGUUAAUUCGAUAACGAACGAGACCUCAUCCUGCUAACUAGCUACGCGGAGGCAUCCCUCCGCCGCCAGCUUCUUAGAGGGACUAUGGCCGUUUAGGCCACGGAAGUUUGAG
This 1406-nucleotide ribosomal RNA is filed under the name Musa schizocarpa. Its description in RNAcentral is "bacterial SSU rRNA". It matches the Rfam family "Eukaryotic small subunit ribosomal RNA", at positions 19 to 1449 of the family's 1831-position model. The record is from RNAcentral. Lineage: Eukaryota; Viridiplantae; Streptophyta; Magnoliopsida; Zingiberales; Musaceae.